GAUGAACGCUGGCGGCGUGCUUAACACAUGCAAGUCGAACGGAAAGGCCCAAGCUUGCUUGGGUGCUCGAGUGGCGAACGGGUGAGUAACACGUGGGUGAUCUGCCCUGCACUUUGGGAUAAGCCUGGGAAACUGGGUCUAAUACCGGAUAGGACCAUCGUUUAGUGUCGGUGGUGGAAAGUUUUUCGGGGUGGGAUGAGCUCGCGGCCUAUCAGCUUGUUGGUGGGGUAAUGGCCUACCAAGGCGUCGACGGGUAGCCGGCCUGAGAGGGUGUACGGCCACAUUGGGACUGAGAUACGGCCCAGACGCCUACGGGAGGCAGCAGUGGGGAAUAUUGCACAAGGGGCGCAAGCCUGAUGCAGCGACGCCGCGGGGGGGAUGACGGCCUUCGGGUUGUAAACUCCUUUCGCCAAGGACGAAGCGUUUUGUGACGGUACUUGGAGAAGAAGCACCGGCUAACUACGUG
Molecule: ribosomal RNA, 466 nt
Filed under: uncultured bacterium
Lineage: Bacteria
Description: partial 16S ribosomal RNA
Rfam family: Bacterial small subunit ribosomal RNA
Source: RNAcentral